AUUGAACGCUGGCGGCAGGCCUAACACAUGCAAGUCGAGCGGAUGAAGGGAGCUUGCUCCUGGAUUCAGCGGCGGACGGGUGAGUAAUGCCUAUGAAUCUGCCUGGUAGUGGGGGAUAACGUCCGGAAACGGGCGCUAAUACCGCAUACUUCCUGAGGGAGAAAGCGGGGGAUCUUCGGACCUCACGCUAUCAGAUGAGCCUAGGUCGGAUUAGCUAGUUGGUGGGGUAAAGGCAUACCAAGGCGACGAUCCGUAACUGGUCUGAGAGGAUGAUCAGUCACACUGGAACUGAGACACGGUCCAGACUCCUACGGGAGGCAGCAGUAGGGAAUAUUGGACUAGGGGCGAAAGCCUGAUCCAGCCAUGCCGAGUGUGUGAAGAAGGUCUUCGGAUUGUAAAGCACUUUCAGUUGGGAGGAAGGGAAGUAAGUUCAUACCUUGCUGUUUUGACGUUACCAACAGAAUAAGCACCGGCUAACUUCGUG
Molecule: ribosomal RNA, 484 nt
Filed under: uncultured bacterium
Lineage: Bacteria
Description: partial 16S ribosomal RNA
Rfam family: Bacterial small subunit ribosomal RNA
Source: RNAcentral